CCUACGGGAUGCAGCAGUGAGGAAUAUUGGUCAAUGGCCGAGAGGCUGAACCAGCCAAGUCGCGUGAGGGAAGACGGCCCUACGGGUGGUACACCUCUUUUGUCGGGGAGCAAAGCGAACCACGUGUGGUUCAUUGAGAGUACCCGAAGAAAAAGCAUCGGAUAACUCCGUGCCAGCAGCAGCGGUAAUACGGGGGAUGCGCACGUUAUCCGGAUGUAUUGGGUUUAAAGGGUGCGCAGGCGGAGGUGCAAGUCAGCGGUCAAAUUGCGGGGCUCAACCCCGUACUGCCGUUGAAACUGCAUCCCUUGAGUGCGCGAGGAGUAUGCGGAAUGCGUGGUGUAGCGGUGAAAUGCAUAGAUAUCACGCAGAACUCCGAUUGCGAAGGCAGCAUACCGGCGCGCAACUGACGCUCAUGCACGAAAGCGUGGGUAUCGAACAGGAUUAGAUACCCGUGUAGUC
RNAcentral lists this ribosomal RNA (459 nucleotides) under uncultured bacterium. Its description in RNAcentral is "partial 16S ribosomal RNA". It matches the Rfam family "Bacterial small subunit ribosomal RNA", at positions 338 to 795 of the family's 1533-position model. The record is from RNAcentral.